RNAcentral lists this ribosomal RNA (253 nucleotides) under uncultured bacterium. RNAcentral's name for it is "partial 16S ribosomal RNA". It matches the Rfam family "Bacterial small subunit ribosomal RNA", at positions 524 to 776 of the family's 1533-position model. The record is from RNAcentral.
UACGGAGGGUGCAAGCGUUGUUCGGAAUCACUGGGCGUAAAGGGCGUGUAGGCGGUCUAUCAAGUCUGGUGUGAAAUCCCCUCGCUCAACGAGGGAACUGCGCCGGAAACUGACAGACUAGAGUACCGGGGAGGAAGGUGGAAUUCCUGGUGUAGCGGUGAAAUGCGCAGAUAUCAGGAGGAACACCAAUUGCGAAGGCAGCUCGCUGGGACGUUACUGACGCUGAGACGCGAAAGCGUGGGGAGCAAACAGG